This 75-nucleotide small nucleolar RNA is filed under the name Ananas comosus (pineapple). The record is from RNAcentral. Lineage: Eukaryota; Viridiplantae; Streptophyta; Magnoliopsida; Poales; Bromeliaceae.
CCCCGUGAAAACCCGGAGUAGAUGCAGAUUGAAUAGAAAACGAUGUUGAGAAAGGCCUUGCAGUAGAAUCAGGAA